GUGCUCACAAUUUCAAUUUGCCGUCGGUUGUCUUAGGUCUCCUCCUCACCCAUAAAACUGUCACCCCAACCCACAACGUACAUCCCCAAAUCAAAACGCAAAAGUGGAGAGAUCAGAGGUCCUCUUCCCCCUCAGACGCCAUAUGCACCUCCUCACCCGUCGAUACAAUCAAUGACGUUUUAAAAGUUCAAGACGUGAUUUAAAAAACAGAUGAUGGUCUCUUAGUCUUCACCUCCCUUUCCCUCUUUUCUGAAUCCCUCUCCUCUAAAUCACUUGAAGAAAGUGUUGAAGGAUGAUGAAGAAGAAUAAGUGGGCACUGCAUGAACAGGUGCUUCUCAAAAUGCUACAAGCUCAACCGGGCUGCUGAACUUCAUAAUUUGUCUAAAUGGUGUGCAAGGGUUGUGUUGUGUUGCCGAGUUUCUACUGAAAGGAUGUGUAGAAGUUAAUCUAAAGGAUUGAUGGGGUAGCACACGUCAGAUAUGUAUACUGCUAUCCGAGGCACAACGCGACUCUUGGAUGUGAGGAAUAACCACAAAACAUGAAGAGUAACCUCACCGUGCUCCAUGGCUUGGCAUGUGGUGAGUCAGAUCCGGACGUGGUAUUUCGGUACGGAUACGGUUUGGAUACAAGUUGGAUAACGGAUCAAAAACAAUUUUAGUCCGGGUGAAAUAAGCAGAUGCUCUGGUUGUUAAAAGAAAAGAUUGACUUUUGCAUUUGCUUAAGUGCGAGAUGAUUGUUGGUCCCAUAAAAGCCUUAUAUAUGGAUGAAAUACAUGGAGGCAAUAGGUUGUUCAUCCAAAGAAAAACAUGCAUUUUGCUUGAAAUGAAAAGAUUUACAUCUUUUGUCACGUAGGUUCUUUGUAGGAGGAAUAAUAUGUUGGAGAUCUGUAUUGUGUUCUUUGAGUGGGUCAUGGGUCGUGGGUCCCACGGUAUGACUAUGUCAGCAACAUAAUCAUUCUAGAUUCAUAUAUGUUAAAUUUGCCUAUCGUUUACUUUUGCAUUUAAAUGACACCAUUUCAUGUUUUAGUACUCUAUCAGCUUUAUUUUCUAUCAUUUUGUGGUUGUAUAAACUGUUGACAUUUGUUUUGCUUUUAUAAAUUAAAGAGUGGUGCUUUUAUUU
RNAcentral lists this long non-coding RNA (1119 nucleotides) under Helianthus annuus (common sunflower). RNAcentral's name for it is "hypothetical non coding rna". The record is from RNAcentral. Lineage: Eukaryota; Viridiplantae; Streptophyta; Magnoliopsida; Asterales; Asteraceae.